Molecule: transfer RNA, 74 nt
Filed under: Cordylochernes scorpioides
Lineage: Eukaryota; Metazoa; Arthropoda; Arachnida; Pseudoscorpiones; Chernetidae
Description: tRNA-Thr
Source: RNAcentral
UGUCAAGGGAUGGGAAUCGAACCCACGACCUUCCUCUUACCGGGCAGAUGCCAUGACCACUAGGCUACCCUGGA